CCUUACCUACUCUUGACAUCCAGAGAAUUCGCUAGAGAUAGCUUAGUGCCUUCGGGAACUCUGAGACAGGUGCUGCAUGGCGGUCGUCAGCUCGUGUUGUGAAAUGUUGGGUUAAGUCCCGCAACGAGCGCAACCCUUAUCCUUAUUUGCCAGCACGUAAUGGUGGGAACUCUAGGGAGACUGCCGGUGAUAAACCGGAGGAAGGUGGGGACGACGUCAAGUCAUCAUGGCCCUUACGAGUAGGGCUACACACGUGCUACAAUGGUCGGUACAGAGGGUUGCAAAGCCGCGAGGUGGAGCUAAUCUCACAAAGCCGAUCGUAGUCCGGAUUGGAGUCUGCAACUCGACUCCAUGAAGUCG
Molecule: ribosomal RNA, 360 nt
Filed under: uncultured bacterium
Lineage: Bacteria
Description: bacterial SSU rRNA
Rfam family: Bacterial small subunit ribosomal RNA
Source: RNAcentral